CAGUCGCCGCGGUAAUACGUAGGGUGCGAGCGUUAAUCGGAAUUACUGGGCGUAAAGCGUGCGCAGGCGGUUCGCUAAGACAGAUGUGAAAUCCCCGGGCUUAACCUGGGAACUGCAUUUGUGACUGGCGGGCUAGAGUAUGGCAGAGGGGGGUAGAAUUCCACGUGUAGCAGUGAAAUGCGUAGAGAUGUGGAGGAAUACCGAUGGCGAAGGCAGCCCCCUGGGCCAAUACUGACGCUCAUGCACGAAAGCGUGGGGAGCAAACAGGAUUAGAUACCCCUGUAGUCCCUGUCUCUUAUAA
RNAcentral lists this ribosomal RNA (301 nucleotides) under uncultured bacterium. RNAcentral's name for it is "partial 16S ribosomal RNA". It matches the Rfam family "Bacterial small subunit ribosomal RNA", at positions 509 to 809 of the family's 1533-position model. The record is from RNAcentral.